This 253-nucleotide ribosomal RNA is filed under the name uncultured bacterium. Its description in RNAcentral is "partial 16S ribosomal RNA". It matches the Rfam family "Bacterial small subunit ribosomal RNA", at positions 524 to 776 of the family's 1533-position model. The record is from RNAcentral.
UACGAGGGGUCCUAGCGUUGUUCGGAAUCAUUGGGCGUAAAGCGUAUGUAGGCGGCUAUUCAAGUCAGUUGUGAAAGCCCCGGGCUUAACCCGGGAAGUGCUUCCGAUACUGUUUAGCUUGAGUACUAGAGAGGAUAGUAGAAUUCCAGGUGUAGUGGUGAAAUGCGUAGAUAUCCGGAGGAACACCGGUGGCGAAGGCGGCUUCCUGGACCGACACUGACGCUGAGGCGCGAAAGCUAGGGGAGCAAACGGG